GAGAGAGAUUCCAGCAGCAGGAAUAUAGCAGAAAGGCAUUGAAUUUCGCAUCCCCUUCAGCACUCUGUCAUUAUACGGCUGACUUUACUGACUGCCCAUUGGACAUUGAUAUUUAAGGAUGGCUGACAAUAACACGGAUUCUCAGAGGGCUGUCAGAAAUUAUUAUAUUAAUCACGGCUUUCAGAGAGACAAUCCCAGUGCUCCUGUGGAUAAUCAAGCAAGAAAUGUAUACACAGAAUUUCCUCCUACAAAUACUACAAACCCGGCACCCCAGGAUGCUGCAAGAAUCAAUACACAAUUGUCUCAUCUACCUCCCUGUUAUAAGUCACCAUCAUCAAGUCCCCAUCAACCUACCUCACAUAAGUCACCAUCAUCAA
Molecule: long non-coding RNA, 377 nt
Organism: Protopterus annectens (West African lungfish)
Lineage: Eukaryota; Metazoa; Chordata; Ceratodontiformes; Protopteridae
Exons: 3
Source: RefSeq, a predicted model, not a curated record